Molecule: long non-coding RNA, 4372 nt
Filed under: Homo sapiens (human)
Lineage: Eukaryota; Metazoa; Chordata; Mammalia; Primates; Hominidae
Description: HSALNT0327983
Source: RNAcentral
CGGGAAGCUGCUGUAAGAGCGAAACGUUGCCCCACUUGGCGGUGUCCAGGGUCAGAAGUCAGUGGUGGCUAUACUCGGAAUAAGGCUGACAGUUCGCAGUGAGGGAAAACGUGUAACCUGGCAGGAUGAGGAACACGCAAUGAAAAUGAACCCAGGGAAACCAAAGAUUUCUAAGAGCUGUAUUUUAUUGUGGUCCAAAGAAAGGACUGAGAGCUGCUUAAGGGAAACAGCAUUUAUAAAGCCCAAACAUUAAAUAUAUAUUGCAACAGAAAUACAAUCUUAAUGGAGAUAACUGAAUUGUAAUAGUUUAAGAAACGGUCUUUUCAGAAAACUAAACAGUGAGCAAAACAAUGUUCAAUUUUAAAACGCCCAGACGUGACUCACACACAGCAACCGCCUAUGGGAGAGCAGUAGUUUUCCUUGACCUUCCCUACACUGCGCCCCGGGAGUUCCCCGUAACCCCAGAGCAGAAAAAUUCACCAACUUUGGAAUCUAGUCAGAAAAACAAAACAAAUAAAACCGUGCGGACCCCCAAGCAAGGAUUCACUAACAUUCCUACCGGCCUUGCUUAACCUCCAUGCCCCCGGGAAGUGGCGCGAAUCACUCUUGGCACCACUUGGGGCGCACAGAAAGGACCCACCUCCUGUUGGCCAGGCAACCGCACACCUGAGGCAAGAGGACCAGAAGUGGAGAACAAACUGCUCAAGUUCCAGCAGUCUCCAAAUCAGAGUCCCUAUUAUCUUGGGCCCUUGCAAACUUGAGCACUCACCUUUGGCCACGUAGCUGCCCCUUUUCACCCUGCCAGCAGAAACAAAGUGAACGCUCUUCUUUUCUCUGUAAGCUGGAAAUUACCAAGGGCAUACUUGAGCCUACCAGGCCCCGAGGACCCCAUUUCAGGCCCAAAUGUGCCAGUUUUACCCUUGCUGAGAGUGCUCACUGCAGUCUUCAUCAACCAACUUCUAAGUGGGUGUCAAUGAGGAGCAGCCUCACGCUUUUUCUGCAGAGAGAAGGUAGAGAGAGAUGAGGGCUUUCGGUGUGGCCCUGUGACCCCAGGCUACUAUCCCAGGCUAUGGCACGUCUUCGCCAGAAAAGCAGCGACCGAGUUAUUUCCCUGUUGACAAUGCCCAGCAGCCGGGCCCUGUUAUUAUAGGGGUUAUUAGAGGGGUCGCCUUCUUCUCUAAUGGUUCCUGUUCAGGGUUUUCCCCCAGUAAGAUUUAGAAAAGACUGGACUAAAACACUUUACCUCCCAGAGUCUCUUAGAACAUGGCCCCCGAGUCGUCUCCCCUACACUCCCCCUCCCACCCCUACCCUGUUGUCCCUCAGCUGAUGGUGCGGAUGGAAAGACUCAAAGACAGACAAGAACCCCCCACCAGCCCCCACCCGCUGGGAACAGGACCGACAAUCUUUCCCACUUUCUUGUGGAAAAUUUUCACACGUACACACAAAAUCUGGAGUCCGAGAUAAUAGGUGAUGAGCCGUCCUGGGAACGGUGUCGCAGGCUGAGGAUGUCCAAGACCUGGCGAGUCUCGGGUCAGAGGAGCCGGAGGGGGCGACCCGAGGCCCCGCGCCCCGGCUCUGCGCUGGGGGGUGGUGCUGGCUAUUUCUCUCUGCUCCCAACUAUUACAUUUCUUUUUUCCUUCAUCUUGGCUAGAGUUAUACGUUUUAUGUGUGGGGCGAUUUAGAAAAUAAAAUUGGACUAUAUAAGCUAUUCUAUAUAUAAAAAAGAACCCGAAAAGCCUCGCGUUUUUUCUCUUGUGUUUUCCUCACUUUUCUUUUUCUCAAACUGCAAAAUUUUAGUGCCUGAAUGGCGAAUGGGGAAAAGGACUGGCCGGAGAGUGAGGCACGGAAGGGAGGUCUGAAAGUGAAUUUUUCAAUGCCUAGUUUACCCUUGAUGUCGCAUUCCAUCUUAAAUGGCCACUAUGAUGAUAAUCUGAGCAGUAAUAUUAGUCGAUUUUCCUGCUCUACAGUGCGGCUUGGAGAAGUCUUGGGAAUCAAACGGCAUGAACUUAGAUUCCUGUUACACAACUUUUCAAUGAGGGAGGAGGAUAUCGAAUACCUCACUCAGUCUUCGGGAAUGGAGCCUUCAAAAACACUUUUGUGAGGCCGGGCGCGGUGGCUCACGCAUGUAAUCCCAGCACUUUGGAAGGCCAAGGCGGGCGGAUCACGAGGUCAGGAGUUCAAGCCUUGCCAACAUGGUGAAACCCCGUCUCUACUAAAAAUACACAAAUUAGCUGGGCAUGGUGGCGCGCGCCUGUAAUCUCAGCUACUCGGGAGGCUGAGGCAGGAGAAUCGCUUGAACCGGGACCCGGGAAGCAAAGGUUGCAGUGAGCGGAGAUCGCGCCACUGCACUCCAGCCUGAGCUACAGAGCGAGACUCCGUCUCAAAAAAAAAAAAAAAAAAGAAAGAAAAAGAAAAAAGAAAAAAAAAAAAGAAAGAAAGAAAAGAAAGAAAAAACCCUUGUGAGCCGCCUAAAAACCGUCCUGUGAGCAUCUCAUCCCCACACUGGCGCUGCCACCCGCACGGACCUUCCAACUUCGCACUGUUCCAUUUUCUCUAUGUGCUUUUCAGCCCAUCCUUGGAGUUGCUCUGUAAGAAGGACUUUCGGAGUGAAACUCCACAGUGCGGUUCAAAGACACGCUUAGGAUGCCCCGGGAUGGAGAGAGGACUGAGCUUGGACUGGAAUUCCUGGAACAGACGAGGGCUUGUGAGCUUGUCCCAGGCACUGAGGACAGCAUACUCUUCCCGACAAGGGCAUCUGGGUCGAGAGAAGGUGGAGCGGGUCUUCGGCAAAGGCGAAACCCUGGAGAACGCUGCCCCACCCCACCCUGUAAGCGUGGACGAGUAAUAAUCUCCCGGCCUCAGUUUCCACCCUCUGCUUAUAUCAAUUUUAAGAAGCUUUAUUUUUUCUAAGAUGAUUUUCCCUACAUAUUUCUUGUCUCCCUCACUGCCAUUCCCGCCCCUCCCCCCCAAAAUACAUUGUAAAUCUUUUUCCUCCUACGGUUAAUUUUAAAGAACCACAAAAGUUUGCAUAAGACAGAAUUUACCUGCCCAUAUAUUUCUGUUGAAGGUGGAAAAUUGUUUUUACGUGGCAAGUUUUAUUUCUAUUGAUUUCUAAAAAUUUUAUCUGGAAAGAAUUUGGCUCAUGAGCUAAAUAAUAUAGUUACCAUUUGCUUAAUAAUUUUUAAGCUCUAGGCAUUGAGGUAAAUGCUUUAUAUAUUUUUUCUUAGUCUGAGAACAACCAUGUAAAAUAGGGUUUUUCCUUCUGUUUUUCUUCCUCCCUCUCUUCUUUCCAAUUUGAAAACUGAGGCAGAGACAUUAAAUGGCUUUCACAAAGGUAUAGAGCUAGUAAGUAGCAGAGGCAGAGUCUGAACACAACUACCAACCGCUAAGUGGAAGCUCUUAGCAGAGGUCAGCCGAGUUUUCAAGUGAGGCUAUAACUGCUGAAGAGUAGCCCUUCAACCUAUGGUACUUGGUUGCCCAUUAUAAAGGAAAGCUGUGUAGUAAUUUGACUUUUUAUACCUUAAGAAAUAAUCACGGCAAAAAAAAACCCUAAAAAUAAUCUUUAGCUGUUAAGCAAUCAUCAUAUUGCUAGUUGUAGUGCUGUUAUUCAUAUUUUGCAACUGUUUAUAUAUUAUGAGAUAAAGCAAGUAAGUCAUUAUAUUGGUGUCUUACAGAACUGAAAUUUUUCAUUAUAAGUAAAAAGGAGAUACAGGUGGAAGAUUAUUGAAAUCAAAUAAAAAUCUUAUAGCCCUGGAAAGAAAAAAAAAGGAAAGCUAUGGUUAAGAAGCAAGAGUAGAAGCUGUGAGUAGUUACUACCAGUACAGAAAGCUUGAAACAGACUUGUAUUCCCACCCCAAUCAAUGCUUCUCACAGGAGCACAUUGAAUCCUCUGUUAUGUUAAUUCUGGCAAUCUCUAUGUCUUCUGGGUCCUACCAUCAAACCUCUGAAAGCAAUUCAAAUAUUUUGCCACUCCCUUUGACCAUUUAUUUUUUAAAUCUGAGAUUAGAAUUGUGGAACACAUAGUGGAUUGAUAUAAAGAGGAAAAUCAAGCACCAGGAAUAAAGAUUAUAAAAGAGUUAGCUCCUUGAAGGUUGUUGGUAAUAGACCAAUCAUGCCAACAUAAAAAAAUUAAAUACUACUUUAAUGAAAUUUCAUACUUUUAAUAAAUUACUUUCAUCUUGUUAGUUCUGAUCUAGAAUAUCUUUGUAUUUAACAUAAAUGAGAUAAAAUUAUAAAGAGAUUCAUCCUCUAUUUUCCAUUAUAACAUGCAUAAAGUAAGAUUUCAAAAAUUUAAAUAAAUGUGUCAGAAUAUUCAUGGAAAGUAUUCAGCUGUGAGAUUAUGUACUUAUUUGAAUAAAGUGUCUUUUUACAA